CUUUCAGCAGUUUAAAGGAUGCCAUGCCAUGGGGUUUUCAGUCCCCGUUGUUUCUCAUAAGCCCAUGAUCAUUCUUAUCCUUGUUCACUGCCUACUUAAUGUGAAGAUGAUGAAGAUGAAGACCUUUUGAAUGAUCUGGUUCCACUUAAUAUGUAGGUCUUGUUCUGUUGCCCAGCCGGGAGUACCCUGAGUUUUCUAUUUGCUUCAUAUAUCCCAAACUUGGAGCUUAAGAAGUAAACAACACAGAAAUACCAAUGCAUUACAUGGUAAGCAAAAAUAUUCUUAACAAAGCAUGCUUUCUAUAAUAACUAAAGGACCAAAAAGGGUCAACCUAAUAAGACGAACUUCUAGACAGUAACCACUAUUCCAGGUAAAUAACAGAGGAAACAUUGUGAACGCAGGCACCUCUAUUCCUGCAAAAGCCAAGUGGGGAGCCUAGGUUUUUACCUUUUUGAGAUUCUAAUGAAGUACCCCAAUCUCCACACUGGGAUAGUGUCAAAAAAAGGGCAAGGAGGGAACCAGGAGUUUUAUUAUCACUGAGUUCCAUUUCUGUUCUUAGUGUCAGUGGAGAACACAUGGGAAUUCUGGACUUCCA
This 595-nucleotide long non-coding RNA is filed under the name Callithrix jacchus (white-tufted-ear marmoset). Its description in RNAcentral is "lncRNA (ENSCJAG00000086652.1)". The record is from RNAcentral. Lineage: Eukaryota; Metazoa; Chordata; Mammalia; Primates; Cebidae.